CUGCAGCUGUGGUUGUUAUCAGUAGGCUACAGUUGAUCAGACUGAAGCACGGACUAAUUGUGCACGUUGACAAAUCAUAAGGGAACUUGUAUGACAUUUUUUGGGGUGGCGGUUAUGGGCUUCCAUAUAAAACAGCUUGUUGGGGUGAAUUCACAUACACCCACGUUUUCAGUCGCAAUUUGCUUUCAACACAUGUAAUGAUUUGCAUGAUAUUGAUAAAAAGUCUGGUCUUUUAUAACGGUGCAAGACCCAAACAGCGUUCCAUAGAAAUCCUGAUUGAGAAUGAAAGACAGAACAAAUGAACAACGAAACAGCACAGCAAGACAAUGACCGAACAAACCUCCAGGCUGUGCAAGGGCUAUUUGACCAAGAAGUAGAGUGAUGGAGUGCUACAUCAGAUGACCUAGCCUCCACAAUCACCUGACCUCAACCCAACUGAAAUGUUUUAGGAUUAGUUGGACCGCAGAGUGAAGGAAAAGCAGCCAGCAAGUGCUCAGCAUAUGUGGGAACAUCUUCAAGACUGUUGGAAAAGCAUUCCUCAUGAAGCUAGUUGAGAGAAUACCAAGAGUGUGCAAAACUGUCAUCAAGACAAAGGGUGGCUACUUUGAAGAAUCUAAAAUAUAUUUUGAUUUGUUUAACACUUUUUUGAUUAAUAUA
Oncorhynchus keta (chum salmon) is the source of this 657-nucleotide long non-coding RNA. RefSeq lists it as uncharacterized. NCBI's taxonomy places the organism in Eukaryota, Metazoa, Chordata, Actinopteri, Salmoniformes, Salmonidae. The record is from RefSeq and is a predicted model, not a curated record. The transcript has 3 exons.